CCUACGGGGGGCAGCAGUGGGGAAUUUUGCACAAUGGGCGAAAGCCUGAUGCAGCAACGCCGCGUGUGUGAUGAAGGUCUUCGGAUCGUAAAGCACUUUCGACCGGGACGAACAACCUCUGGCUAACAGUCAGGGGCCUGACGGUACCGGGAGAAGAAGCACCGGCUAACUCUGUGCCAGCAGCCGCGGUAAUACAGAGGGGGCAAGCGUUGUUGGGAAUUAUUUGGCGUAGGCUUGGUGUAGGCGGUGUGAAAGCCCUCAGCUCAACUGAGGAAGGGCGCCCGAAACUGGCGAGCUUGAGUGUCGGAGAGGAUGGCGGAAUACCCCAAGUAGAGGUGAAAUUCGUAGAUAUGGGGUGGAACACCGGUGGCGAAGGCGGCCAUCUGGACGACAACUGACGCUGAGACGCGAAAGCGUGGGGAGCAAACAGGAUUAGAUACCCUUGUAGUC
Molecule: ribosomal RNA, 450 nt
Filed under: uncultured bacterium
Lineage: Bacteria
Description: partial 16S ribosomal RNA
Rfam family: Bacterial small subunit ribosomal RNA
Source: RNAcentral